GAUGGGCUCGCGGCCUAUCAGCUUGUUGGUGGGGUAAUGGCCUACCAAGGCGACGACGGGUAGCCGGCCUGAGAGGGCGACCGGCCACACUGGGACUGAGACACGGCCCAGACUCCUACGGGAGGCAGCAGUGGGGAAUAUUGCGCAAUGGGCGAAAGCCUGACGCAGCGACGCCGCGUGAGGGAUGAAGGCCUUCGGGUUGUAAACCUCUUUCAGCGCCGAAGAAGCGAAAGUGACGGUAGGCGCAGAAGAAGCACCGGCUAACUACGUGCCAGCAGCCGCGGUAAUACGUAGGGUGCAAGCGUUGUCCGGAAUUAUUGGGCGUAAAGAGCUCGUAGGCGGUUUGUCGCGUCUGCUGUGAAAACUCGGGGCUUAACCCCGGGCCUGCAGUGGGUACGGGCAGACUAGAGUGCGGUAGGGGAGACUGGAAUUCCUGGUGUAGCGGUGAAAUGCGCAGAUAUCAGGAGGAACACCGGUGGCGAAGGCGGGUCUCUGGGCCGUAACUGACGCUGAGGAGCGAAAGCGUGGGGAGCGAACAGGAUUAGAUACCCUGGUAGUCCACGCCGUAAACGUUGGGCGCUAGGUGU
Molecule: ribosomal RNA, 587 nt
Filed under: uncultured Actinomycetes bacterium
Lineage: Bacteria; Bacillati; Actinomycetota; Actinomycetes
Description: bacterial SSU rRNA
Rfam family: Bacterial small subunit ribosomal RNA
Source: RNAcentral